RNAcentral lists this ribosomal RNA (483 nucleotides) under Triticum aestivum (bread wheat). RNAcentral's name for it is "partial small subunit ribosomal RNA". Lineage: Eukaryota; Viridiplantae; Streptophyta; Magnoliopsida; Poales; Poaceae. The record is from RNAcentral.
AUGAAGCAAGCUGCGGAUGGGGAUGAAUUGGCAGAGUUGUAUGCAGAGAUCACGGAUAAUCAUCAAGCAACAACAAAGAUCCGGUCUGAGUUAGAUAAAAUCAAGACAGAUGUUGGAGCUAUACAGACGCAACAAGUAUAUCUCACAGAAGUUGUCAGAGGAAUGCAAUCCGCAGUUCAAGACCUUUCUCAACAACUGCAGAUCAUGUCUGAGGUGCUCAAAGCAAUGAUACCUGAACCAUCAGAUCAGCUGCCAGGAUCCCAAACACAACCUGUAGUUCAACCAUCAGCUGAGCAACAGCAACAACAAAUGCCUCCAGUGAAUCAAAGGACUGAAUCUCUUCGUCAGAAAUUAUCCAAUGAACAAGAGGGCACUUGGCAAAUUGGAUUUCUGAUGGCAUAUUUGCCUCCAGUCAGAAUUGGAAAUCGUUCUGCACCUCCAGGAUUUGGGUACCUAAUGUUGAAGUGUAAGUGGAUUGCCUAG